UUUUAUUUCCUCGUUGUAACGACAAAAUGUGUUUUAUUAGUUGAUUUUAUGUGUUACAGCGUUCAACACACACAAUGCAAAAGGGCAUUUGAUGUAAAAAAAUUUAAAAAAAUGAAAAAUAAGUAAUUGAAACUGAAAAUCAGAAAGUAUUAAAUCACUCAGCAUUAGUAGUCGGCCUGGAACACACCCGUAAUCUGACAGGACUACGACACAGGCUUGGUAGUCGGCCUGGAACACACCCGUAAUCUGACAGGACUACGACACAGGCUUGGUAGUCGGCCUGGAACACACCCGUAAUCUGACAGGACUACGACACAGGCUUGGUAGUCGGCCUGGAACACACCCGUAAUCUGACAGGACUACGACACAGGCUUGGUAGUCGGCCUGGAACACAUGUCAAAAAUGUUAUAAAAUGAUUUGCAUUUUAAUGAGGGAAAUAAGUAUUUGACCCCCUCUCAAUCAGAAAGAAUUCUGGCUCCCAGGUGUCUUUUAUACAGGUAACGAGCUGAGAUUAGGAGCACACUCUUAAAGGGAGAAUGUGUGUGUGUGUGAGUUCUAGAACGCGUGUGAGAGUUCUAGAAUGCGUGUGUGUGAGUUCUAGAAUGUGCGUGUGUGAGUUCUAGAAUGCGUGUGAGAGUUCUAGAAUGCGUGUGUGAGUUCUAGAAUGCGCGUGUGUGAGUUCUAGAAUGUGCGUGUGUGAGUUCUAGAAUGCGUGUGUGAGUUCUAGAAUGCGUGUGAGAGGUCUAGAAUGCGUGUGUGAGUUCUAGAAUGCGUGUGAGAGGUCUAGAAUGCGUGUGUGAGUUCUAGAAUGCGUGUGAGAGGUCUAGAAUGCGUGUGAGAGGUCUAGAAUGCGUGUGUGAGUUCUAGAAUGCGUGUGAGAGUUCUAGAAUGCGUGUGAGAGGUCUAGAAUGCGUGUGUGAGUUCUAGAAUGCGUGUGUGAGUUCUAGAAUGCGUGUGAGUUCUAGAAUGCGUGUGAGAGGUCUAGAAUGCGUGUGUGAGUUCUAGAAUGCGUGUGAGAGGUCUAGAAUGCGUGUGGAGUUCUAGAAUGCGUGUGUGAGUUCUGGAAGAAGAAUGU
RNAcentral lists this long non-coding RNA (1075 nucleotides) under Salmo salar (Atlantic salmon). RNAcentral's name for it is "lncRNA (ENSSSAG00000096242.1)". Lineage: Eukaryota; Metazoa; Chordata; Actinopteri; Salmoniformes; Salmonidae. The record is from RNAcentral.